This is a long non-coding RNA of Dama dama (fallow deer), 983 nucleotides long. RefSeq lists it as uncharacterized. NCBI's taxonomy places the organism in Eukaryota, Metazoa, Chordata, Mammalia, Artiodactyla, Cervidae. The transcript has 3 exons. The record is from RefSeq and is a predicted model, not a curated record.
AGGGGGAGUGCGCUUCGCUUUCCCGGGGUCUGGGGCUCAUUUCUCCUCUCUUCCCCAUAAACUCAGCUCCUCCGAGCUCAAAACACAAAAGGAAGCGAGAGGUUCGAACCUUUGGGAAAAGUCUGUUAUAUAUAGUAGGUUUCGGGGCGAGUAAGAGCAAAAAAACAAUAAACACCACAGCUCUUUCCAGCUAGAAUAUUAGGCACCACGAGAAAAAUAUUUGCCAAGCAGUUUUCGCCUCCACCCGCAGAACCCUUUGAGCUGCCUGAAAUCCGAGUCAUUAAACUGUUCCCUGAGGUCAGACCACAGAUGCCCCCGUGCAUGUUUCGUCCAUGUCAACGUCUAUGUAACACAUGUACAUACAGAGACACACGCAGAAAACUGUGUAACUCUGCGGGGGCACAGUGUGAGGUGGAUUCUUCACCAGCUGAGCCACCAGGGAAGCCAAAGAAUACUGGAAUGCAUAGCCUAUCCCUUCGCCAGCAGAUCUUCCCGACCCAGGAAUUGAACUGGGAUCUCCUGCAUUGCAGGUAGCUUCUUUACCAGCUGAGCUACCAGGGAAGCCCUCUGUCCUCAGCAAUUGUUGAAUCCCACACAACUGAUUUUGUGUCAUUGGAAACUGAGACCCACACAGAAUGUAUUUUCCACACACACACUGGAUCAGGCUGAGUCAGAUCCAGAACUCUGAUGUCCUGGUUCUAAAUCUACUGUGUUUUUCCAUAGCUUAUCAUGAGAAGAGGCUGUGGGGUGGGCAGACCUGCCAAAGAGCCAUUUUCUGUGGUCUUACAUUUUCUGUGACCUUCAGAGAAGUCCCCACUUUUGGACUCCUGAGAUGAUCUCCACUGAGGUUCUACAUCAGUCUUAACAGGACCAUGACAGUCUGCAUGUGGGUCCCAGUGUAAGACGCCCUAUAGGAGUCCCCACAGUUUCCUAUGGUACUGUGACUUAUCACUGUUAAUAAACCUAUAAUUAUCUUAUGAGUA